This is a small nuclear RNA of Synchiropus splendidus (mandarinfish), 135 nucleotides long. RefSeq annotates it as U4atac minor spliceosomal RNA. Lineage: Eukaryota; Metazoa; Chordata; Actinopteri; Syngnathiformes; Callionymidae. The transcript has a single exon. The record is from RefSeq and is a predicted model, not a curated record.
ACUAUCCUUGUCUCGGGGUGAGAGAGCGGCUCAAUGAGCGUAUAGCGAGAGCAGCCCUGCCAACACCAGAGCAACACUCAGCACCGACUAGCGAGAAUCACACAUCCCGUUAGACCCGGUGCAAUUUUUGGACCC